CCUACGGGUGGCAGCAGUGAGGAAUAUUGGUCAAUGGGCGUACGCCUGAACCAGCCAAGUCGCGUGAGGGAAGACUGCACUAUGGGUUGUAAACCUCUUUUGUCAGGGAGCAACGCCGGCUACGUGUAGCCGGACUGAGAGUACCUGAAGAAAAAGCAUCGGCUAACUCCGUGCCAGCAGCCGCGGUAAUACGGAGGAUGCGAGCGUUAUCAGGAUUGAUUGGGUUAAAAGGGUGCGUAGGCGGAAUGCCAAGUCAGCGGUAAAAUCGCGGGGCUCAACCGCGCUCCGCCGUUGAAACUGGCGUUAUUGAGUGGGCGAGAAGUAUGCGGAAUGCGUGGUGUAGCGGUGAAAUGCAUAGAUAUCACGCAGAACUCCGAGUGCGAAGGCAGCAUACCGGCGCCCAACUGACGCUGAAGCACGAAAGCGUGGGUAUCGAACAGGAUUAGAUACCCUUGUAGUC
This 460-nucleotide ribosomal RNA is filed under the name uncultured bacterium. Its description in RNAcentral is "partial 16S ribosomal RNA". It matches the Rfam family "Bacterial small subunit ribosomal RNA", at positions 338 to 795 of the family's 1533-position model. The record is from RNAcentral.